Molecule: non-coding RNA, 98 nt
Filed under: Oxalobacter formigenes
Lineage: Bacteria; Pseudomonadati; Pseudomonadota; Betaproteobacteria; Burkholderiales; Oxalobacteraceae
Also listed under: 1 other name
Description: TPP sequence
Rfam family: TPP riboswitch aptamer (THI element)
About the family: Vitamin B(1) in its active form thiamin pyrophosphate (TPP) is an essential coenzyme that is synthesised by coupling of pyrimidine and thiazole moieties in bacteria. The previously detected thiamin-regulatory element, thi box was extended, resulting in a new, highly conserved RNA secondary structure, the THI element, which is widely distributed in eubacteria and also occurs in some archaea.
Source: RNAcentral
UCAGAAUGCUAGGGGUUCUGGCCGAAAGGCCGGGCGAGAUUACACCCUCUGAACCUGAUCUGGGUAAUGCCAGCGAAGGGAAGCGAAAAAUGUGCAUG